Molecule: ribosomal RNA, 253 nt
Filed under: uncultured bacterium
Lineage: Bacteria
Description: partial 16S ribosomal RNA
Rfam family: Bacterial small subunit ribosomal RNA
Source: RNAcentral
UACGUAGGUGGCAAGCGUUGUCCGGAUUUACUGGGCGUAAAGAGCGCGCAGGCGGUCGGAUAAGUCGAAUGUGAAAGCCCCUGGCUCAACCAGGGAGGGUCAUUCGAUACUGUUCGACUCGAAGGCAGGAGAGGGAAGCGGAAUUCCCGGUGUAGUGGUGAAGUGCGUAGAUAUCGGGAGGAACACCAGUGGCGAAGGCGGCUUUCUGGCCUGUUCUUGACGCUGAGGCGCGAAAGCUAGGGGAGCAAACGGG